GCCCUCCCCCACCGUCGCUGCCGACUGGCCCCACCGCGCGAGGCCCGGCCCCGAGCUGCGGCCUCCCGAAAUGGAGGCGCUACGAGGCGGGGGCCGGGCCGGCAGCGCCCCGGAGCGGGCGAAGGGGGGUGCGGACGUUCAGCGCCGAGGCUUCCGCGCACGUCGUCCCCUGGCAGCAGGGCGGGGGGAGCGUACCCUCAGCUCCCUCUCCCCUCCACCCUCACGGCGUGUGUACGGUGCUGGCAGUCAGUUCUGGAGUCGGUUUCAGUGGCCGUGAGGCUGCCCGUAUUCUUGUACAAAACAGUCUCUGCAGAUCCCAGGAGAAGCUCGCUUCACAUAGUACAAAACCCAACCCCUCUCACGCACAGCAGAACGCGCUGAUUUCCCCCUACAGAAUAAAUCAGCUCUAUGUACGAGCCCGUGCCUGAUGAGAUCACAUCACACGACUCUCCGUCACCAUGUGAGCAGAUCUGAGUCAUAUCUGGAAGACUGCUGCACACAGUCUUCUCUCAUCCUGUUUCAUUUAAAUGGACAUACUGGGUGUUAGAGAUCCCCUGGAGACUGCGCUCAACGUGAUUCACCAGAAGUGUGUUAAAGGAUUCUGCAGAAGGCUUCAGUACCUUUAGUAUUCAGAAGGCAAAGCCCGCUCAAAACCACUGCUCGGAUAAAGGUGAACUUACAGUCUGCCAACUUGGACUGACUAGAUCAAUCCCAGAGGAACAGCAGAAGAGGCAAAAGAUCAACUUUUUACCAUGACACUUGUUAACUUUGCACUUCUGAGAGGUGUUUGAGGCCAGACGCUUUAGUGUUAGAAACUUCUAACUGCUAUUUUGACUUUUUCCUUACCUAAAGCCAAGAGAUUGGCCUGGGACCACACAAUUAUAAAGGCCACUGGCAGCUUACAACUGAGUUUCACAUGCGAUAGUUAGAACUGAAACCCAGUGAAAAGCAACAUGUGGAAAUCAAGCAUUGCAAUUAAGCCAAGUACAAGGUACAACCAACCCCUGUGCGCUGGAGCCAGGCCACCAGGAAAGGCCUCACACACAUGCACCACAGAUGAGAAACUGCUGCCAGCCCUCUGCCAUCAUCCUGCUCAGUAAAACAGCUUUAGGUUAUGUCAGUUCUAGUGAAAUUCUAGUCUUGCAGCUGCCUCACAUCUAACUUAACCAGUGCUGUUAGCACAGUGGAAAGCAAGGAAAUACAGUCACAGGAGGGUGCUCAUAUUAAUUAUUUACAGAGCUGCGAAUUGCACCUACAGCACCAGGAGAGAACUGCAAAAGAAAACUAGCUGGCAGAAACAACCAAAUUAUAUAGUAAUUUAUGUGGAAAGAUCUGAUAUGGGAUUUAAUCCAGCCAGAAUACAUUCAGACAUAAUUUAUCUGGACCAAUUUGUUUCAGCAUAAGAAGAAAUGAGUGUAUUCAUACAAUUAAUACCCCCACAUAGCUGGUUACAGAAGCUGUUGGCCCUACCCAAGACAGCUGUUGCUUGUUGUAAUUAACACUGCUUGAAAGAGCUACAGCCAUGAUGAAAGCUACCUUUCUAUAUAAACACAUAAAGUCCAAGGAUAGGUGGAGUUUUUAGCACAACUAAAGCACUAUCCCUUUCACAGCUGCAAGAACAGUAUCGAUAUGGAGCAAACAUGUCCCAGUCUUACCUGCUCCCAUUCUCCCUGAGAAGAAGGACUGCAACUCGCAAGAAGCAGCAGCAAGCACACGAGAUUAGAAGAAAGGAUUCAUGUCUACGGAGAAGAGGAGAAAAUGCAAGUCAUACCACUGGUAAAACUCUGCUUCCAUGAAAUAAGUUAUCACCUCUGGGAAUCAGAUUCAAGAUAGUAAGUGCCACGCCAAAUGGCUGAAAGCCACAUAAAUAUGAAGUUUUAUAAACAGAACAACAGUCCCAACUACAAAAACUCACAGAAAUAAUUGAAGCCGUCUGUCUCGCUUUUGAGGAGCAUAUUUGAAAACACACUGGUUCUCACUGAAAUUGUGUAGUACCAGGCACCCCUGGAGUGCAGCUUGGUACUACACAAUCAUGCAUGGCUGUUUAGAGCUAAUGAUAGGUAGGCAAAGAUCUUGAAGUUGCGAAUGCAAGUGACUCAAAUGCUGGUAUUUAUAGCCUGAAACAUUUCAAGCCUGAAAUUCUGUAUAAUAAACAGUGACAAAUCACAUUUUAAAAAUCUUGUCUAUAAUAAAAUACAUUUUUCAGCAGUCAUCUGUAUAUCAACUGCACAGCUGUUUAUUAGAAGCUGUACUUAGCAAAUUUCAGGUCUGCAUUAACACAUCUCUGCAGCUGCAAUUUCAGAGCAGCCUAAGCCGGCAUAGUUGACUGCAGAAGUCCUCUCUUGACUUUCAAGGCUUGUCUAAUGGCAUACUGGGCUAUGUUAGUUCUUUGAGCCCACAGAAGACCAGUCUGACAACAAAAAUGGACAGCCUUCUGUCAGCUUAGCAAACUGAAAUACUUAACUAUAGAACAGAGUCAAGGAAUACCAGAACCAACUAAGGAAAGAGAGCGGGAAACAGCACCCAGCACUGAGAUGACUUCAGGCUGCUGGGGAAUUUCACCUUCAAUCAGCAAAAGUACUCAAUAAAUUAGAGGUAGUUUAUUCCUCACUUCACUGAA
Molecule: long non-coding RNA, 2620 nt
Organism: Gallus gallus (chicken)
Lineage: Eukaryota; Metazoa; Chordata; Aves; Galliformes; Phasianidae
Exons: 2
Source: RefSeq, a predicted model, not a curated record